Molecule: transfer RNA, 65 nt
Filed under: Lepas anatifera
Lineage: Eukaryota; Metazoa; Arthropoda; Thecostraca; Lepadidae
Description: tRNA-Asn
Source: RNAcentral
UUAGUUAUAGCUAAAUAAGCAAUAUCAUUGUUAAUGAUAAGAUAAACAACAAGGUUUUAACUAAG